GUGUUUGCUUUGGCAGCACAGGUACUAAAAUUGGAACCAUACAGAGAAGAUUAGCAUGGCCCCUGUGCAAAGCUGACAUGUAAGUUAUGAAACAUUUCAUAUUUAU
Molecule: small nuclear RNA, 106 nt
Organism: Gorilla gorilla gorilla (western lowland gorilla)
Lineage: Eukaryota; Metazoa; Chordata; Mammalia; Primates; Hominidae
Source: Rfam